GAUGAAGAACGCAGCGAAAUGCGAUAAGUAAUGUGAAUUGCAGAAUUCAGUGAAUCAUCGAGUCUUUGAACGCACAUUGCGCCCCCUGGUAUUCCGGGGGGCAUGCCUGUCCGAGCGUCAUUGCCGCCCUCAAGCACGGCUUGUGUGUUGGGCCCCCGCCCCCCGGCUUCGGGGGGCGGGCCCGAAAGGCAGCGGCGGCACCGCGUCCGGUCCUCGAGCGUAUGGGGCUUCGUCACCCGCUCUGUAGGCCCGGCCGGCGCCCGCCGGCGACCCCAAUCAAUCUUUCCAGGUUGACCUCGGAUCAGGUAGGGAUACCCGCUGAACUUAAGCAUACAAUAAGCGGAGGA
Molecule: unclassified non-coding RNA, 347 nt
Filed under: soil metagenome
Description: partial contains 5.8S ribosomal RNA, internal transcribed spacer 2, and large subunit ribosomal RNA
Rfam family: 5.8S ribosomal RNA (bases 1-120)
Source: RNAcentral